Molecule: ribosomal RNA, 505 nt
Filed under: uncultured bacterium
Lineage: Bacteria
Description: partial 16S ribosomal RNA
Rfam family: Bacterial small subunit ribosomal RNA
Source: RNAcentral
GACGAACGCUGGCGGCGUGCCUAAUACAUGCAAGUAGAACGCACAGUUUAUACCGUAGCUUGCUACACCAUAGACUGUGAGUUGCGAACGGGUGAGUAAUGCGUAGGUAACCUGCCUGGUAGCGGGGGAUAACUAUUGGAAACGAUAGCUAAUACCGCAUAAUAUUAAUUAUUGCAUGAUAAUUAAUUGAAAGGUGCAAUUGCACCACUACCAGAUGGACCUGCGUUGUAUUAGCUAGUAGGUGAGGUAACGGCUCACCUAGGCGACGAUACAUAGCCGACCUGAGAGGGUGAUCGGCCACACUGGGACUGAGACACGGCCCAGACUCCUACGGGAGGCAGCAGUAGGGAAUCUUCGGCAAUGGACGAAAGUCUGACCGAGCAACGCCGCGUGAGUGAAGAAGGUUUUCGGAUCGUAAAGCUCUGCUGUAAGAGAAGAACGGGUGUGAGAGUGGAAAGUUCACACUGUGACGGUAUCUUACCAGAAAGGGACGGCUAACUACGUG